UACGGGGGGAGCAAGCGUUGUUCGGAUUUACUGGGCGUAAAGGGCGGGUAGGCGGCCACUGCAAGUCGGUUGUGAAAUCUCCGGGCUUAACCCGGAAAGGUCAAUCGAUACUGCAGGGCUAGAGUGCAGAAGGGGCAACUGGAAUUCUCGGUGUAGCGGUGAAAUGCGUAGAUAAUCGAGAGGAACACCUGCGGCGAAGGCGGGUUGCUGGGCUGACACUGACGCUGGAACUGCGAAAGCUAGGGGAGCGAACGGG
Molecule: ribosomal RNA, 256 nt
Filed under: uncultured bacterium
Lineage: Bacteria
Description: partial 16S ribosomal RNA
Rfam family: Bacterial small subunit ribosomal RNA
Source: RNAcentral